UAGUUGGUGGGGUAAAGGCCUACCAAGGCGACGAUCUGUAGCGGGUCUGAGAGGAUGAUCCGCCACACUGGAACUGAGACACGGUCCAGACUCCUACGGGAGGCAGCAGUGGGGAAUUUUGGACAAUGGGGGCAACCCUGAUCCAGCCAUGCCGCGUGAGUGAAGAAGGCCUUCGGGUUGUAAAGCUCUUUCGUCCGGGAAGAAAUCGCACAGGCUAAUACUCUGUGUGGAUGACGGUACCGGAAUAAGAAGCACCGGCUAACUACGUGCCAGCAGCCGCGGUAAUACGUAGGGUGCGAGCGUUAAUCGGAAUUACUGGGCGUAAAGCGUGCGCAGGCGGUUUUGUAAGACAGGCGUGAAAUCCCCGGGCUCAACCUGGGAACUGCGCUUGUGACUGCAAGGCUAGAGUACGGCAGAGGGGGGUGGAAUUCCACGUGUAGCAGUGAAAUGCGUAGAGAUGUGGAGGAACACCGAUGGCGAAGGCAGCCCCCUGGGCCGAUACUGACGCUCAUGCACGAAAGCGUGGGUAGCAAACAGGAUUAGAUACCCUGGUAGUCCACGCCCUAAACGAUGUCAACUAGGUGUUGGGUGGGUAAAACCAUUUAGUACCGUAGCUAACGCGUGAAGUUGACCGCCUGGGGAGUACGGCCGCAAGGUUAAAACUCAAAGGAAUUGACGGGGACCCGCACAAGCGGUGGAUGAUGUGGAUUAAUUCGAUGCAACGCGAAAAACCUUACCUACCCUUGACAUGUCCGGAAUCCCUGAGAGAUUGGGGAGUGCCCGAAAGGGAAUCGGAACACAGGUGCUGCAUGGCUGUCGUCAGCUCGUGUCGUGAGAUGUUGGGUUAAGUCCCGCAACGAGCGCAACCCUUGUCGUUAAUUGCCAUCAUUAAGUUGGGCACUUAGCGAGACUGCCGG
RNAcentral lists this ribosomal RNA (917 nucleotides) under uncultured bacterium. RNAcentral describes it as "bacterial SSU rRNA". It matches the Rfam family "Bacterial small subunit ribosomal RNA", at positions 246 to 1155 of the family's 1533-position model. The record is from RNAcentral.